This 119-nucleotide ribosomal RNA is filed under the name Propithecus coquereli (Coquerel's sifaka). Lineage: Eukaryota; Metazoa; Chordata; Mammalia; Primates; Indriidae. The record is from RNAcentral.
GUCUACGGCCACACCGCCCUGAACGCGCCCGAUCCCGUCUGACCUCGGAAGCUAAGCAGGGUCGGGCCCGGUCAGUACCCGGAUGGGAGACUUAUGGUAGCAAAGGGCUGUUUUAUCUA